UCCUGGCUAGCUCUGUUGGAAGAUCAUGAGACUUAUAAGCUCAGGGUAGUGGGUUCGUGUCCCACGUUGGGUG
This 73-nucleotide transfer RNA is filed under the name Lepisosteus oculatus (spotted gar). It matches the Rfam family "tRNA". From Rfam's summary of the family: Transfer RNA (tRNA) molecules are approximately 80 nucleotides in length. Their secondary structure includes four short double-helical elements and three loops (D, anti-codon, and T loops). Lineage: Eukaryota; Metazoa; Chordata; Actinopteri; Semionotiformes; Lepisosteidae. The record is from Rfam by way of RNAcentral.